GGGUCAGUAGGUUGGUCGUGCCACCGGUACGUACUGGUCUCACUGAUUCCUCCUUCCUGUAGAACCGUAAUGCCAUUAAUUUGGUGUUGCGGGGAAACAGGACUGUUACUUUGAAAAAAUUAGAGUGUUUAAAGCAAGCUAACGCUUGAAUACAUUAGCAUGGAAUAAUGAAAUAGGACGAUCGAUCCUAUUUUGUUGGUUUCUAGGAUUGACGUA
RNAcentral lists this ribosomal RNA (216 nucleotides) under Glomeromycotina sp. RNAcentral's name for it is "partial small subunit ribosomal RNA". The stretch from base 40 to 216 matches the Rfam family "Eukaryotic small subunit ribosomal RNA", at positions 686 to 864 of the family's 1831-position model. The record is from RNAcentral. Lineage: Eukaryota; Fungi; Glomeromycota.